This 54-nucleotide non-coding RNA is filed under the name Burkholderiales bacterium. Its description in RNAcentral is "Li+-I sequence". It matches the Rfam family "nhaA-I RNA". From Rfam's summary of the family: Acidobacteria, Alphaproteobacteria, Betaproteobacteria and Gammaproteobacteria, Verrucomicrobia, cand. division NC10. Downstream gene The record is from RNAcentral. Lineage: Bacteria; Pseudomonadati; Pseudomonadota; Betaproteobacteria; Burkholderiales.
GGGUGUCGGUGGCAUUGGGUCUCGGCAGGUUUUUGCGCAGGUCGGGCCGCCGCG